CGAGCGAAGCGGGAAGAGCUCAAAUUUAUAAUCUGGCACUUUCAGUGUCCGAGUUGUAAUCUCUAGAAGUGUUUUCCGCGUUGGACCGCACACAAGUCUGUUGGAAUACAGCGGCACAGUGGUGACACCCCCGUACACGGUGCGGACGCCCAGCGCUUUGUGAUACACUUUCGAAGAGUCGAGUUGUUUGGGAAUGCAGCUCAAAUUGGGUGGUAAAUUCCAUCUAAAGCUAAAUAUUGGCGAGAGACCGAUAGCGAACAAGUACCGUGAGGGAAAGAUGAAAAGCACUUUGGAAAGAGAGUUAACAGUACGUGAAAUUGUUGGAAGGGAAACGCUUGAAGUCAGACUUGCUUGCCGGAGCUUGCUUCGGUUUGCAGGCCAGCAUCAGUUUUCCGGGGUGGAUAAUGGCGGUCAGAAGGUAGCAGCUUCAGCUGUGUUAUAGCUUUCCGCUGGAUACAUCCUGGGGGACUGAGGAACGCAGCGUGCUUUUAGCGGGGGUUUCGACCUCUUCACGCUUAGG
RNAcentral lists this ribosomal RNA (520 nucleotides) under Rhodotorula paludigena. RNAcentral's name for it is "LSU rRNA". It matches the Rfam family "Eukaryotic large subunit ribosomal RNA", at positions 90 to 621 of the family's 3401-position model. The record is from RNAcentral. Lineage: Eukaryota; Fungi; Basidiomycota; Microbotryomycetes; Sporidiobolales; Sporidiobolaceae.